RNAcentral lists this ribosomal RNA (407 nucleotides) under uncultured bacterium. RNAcentral describes it as "partial 16S ribosomal RNA". It matches the Rfam family "Bacterial small subunit ribosomal RNA", at positions 30 to 526 of the family's 1533-position model. The record is from RNAcentral.
AUUGAACGCUAGCGGGAUGCCUUACACAUGCAAGUCGAACGGAGUGGCGAACGGGUGAGUAAUGUAUCGGAACGUGCCCAGUAGCGGGGGAUAACUACGCGAAAGCGUCGCUAAUACCGCAUACUAUUGGAGCAGCCGAUAUCGGAUUAGCUAGUUGGUGGGGUAACGGCUUACCAAGGCGACGAUCCGUAACUGGUCUGAGAGGAUGAUCAGUCACACUGGAACUGAGACACGGUCCAGACUCCUACGGGAGGCAGCAGUGGGGAAUAUUGGACAAUGGGGGAAACCCUGAUCCAGCCAUGCCGCGUGUGCGAAGAAGGUCUGCGGAUUGUAAAGCACUUUUGGUAGGAAGGCGGUACCAGCAGAAUAAGCACCGGCUAACUACGUGCCAGCAGCCGCGGUAAUAC